Molecule: non-coding RNA, 73 nt
Organism: Paramuricea clavata
Lineage: Eukaryota; Metazoa; Cnidaria; Anthozoa; Malacalcyonacea; Plexauridae
Source: the annotation of a GenBank genome assembly
GCCUCUGUAGUUCAGUUUGUUAGAGCGCUGCACCGGAAUCGCAGGGCCGUAGGUUCAAUUCCUACCAGAGGAC